AUGCCUUACACAUGCAAGUCGAACGGCAGCACGGGAGCAAUCCUGGUGGCGAGUGGCGAACGGUGAGUAAUAUAUCGGAACGUGCCCAGUCGUGGGGGAUAACGUAGCGAAAGCUACGCUAAUACCGCAUACGAUCUAUGGAUGAAAGCGGGGGAUCGCAAGACCUCGCGCGAUUGGAGCGGCCGAUAUCAGAUUAGGUAGUUGGUGAGGUAAAGGCUCACCAAGCCGACGAUCUGUAGCUGGUCUGAGAGGACGACCAGCCACACUGGGACUGAGACACGGCCCAGACUCCUACGGGAGGCAGCAGUGGGGAAUUUUGGACAAUGGGCGCAAGCCUGAUCCAGCAAUGCCGCGUGCAGGAUGAAGGCCUUCGGGUUGUAAACUGCUUUUGUACGGAACGAAACGGUGAGCUCUAAUACAGUUUGCUAAUGACGGUACCGUAAGAAUAAGCACCGGCUAACUACGUG
This 467-nucleotide ribosomal RNA is filed under the name uncultured bacterium. RNAcentral describes it as "bacterial SSU rRNA". It matches the Rfam family "Bacterial small subunit ribosomal RNA", at positions 44 to 507 of the family's 1533-position model. The record is from RNAcentral.